UACUCCUAUAUAAAGAACUCUU
RNAcentral lists this small nuclear RNA (22 nucleotides) under Arabidopsis thaliana (thale cress). RNAcentral describes it as "snRNA_07567". Lineage: Eukaryota; Viridiplantae; Streptophyta; Magnoliopsida; Brassicales; Brassicaceae. The record is from RNAcentral.